CUUUCACAUCACAACUUCCCAAUAGGAUUGUUAUAUUUACUCUGACUGGUGAACAUGAUUGGCGCGCACAGUGUUUGCUUGGUGAAGAUCUGUGUAGAUUGAAAGGCAAAAAAUUCCCAGCAACUGGCAAGUCAUGAGUGGGGCAGGGUGGAUGCCCACGUUCUACAUCCCAUGGUCCAACUUAUUCAGCUCUACUAUUAUCAUGGCUGAAAAUUUCUUUCUGCAGUCAAUCAGGGAUCAAGCAAACUGGUGAGAAGAGUGUAGAUGAACAGAUGUAAGUAUCUGUAGAGUGAAAAGAAGACUGAGAGAAGAAACAUGCAAGGAACAAAGAAGAAAGACAACUGCCACCCAAAAUGGAGCAACUGGAAAACUGUAAGUACAGUCAUGUAUUUCUAACAUUCAUAUUAAUAUAAUGCUGAGAUAAACUUUUAACAAGGUAAUCUAAUUCCUAGAUCUCUCUGAAGUUGGAGGAGCCAGUGUAAAUGUAUGCUGCUUUAAAUGAGAAAAAUGUAGGCCUCUGAGUGUGGUAUAUGUUUGUGGUCUUGGCAUGUGUCCUAAAGGCCAGACAUUUACAGAAGGGAGAGACUUUAUAAAAGCCUAUACAUACACAACUCCUUCUCCUUGACGCUAAAGAAACAAGCUAACCAUCCAGUUGAAAAUUUUAAGGUAUCUGAACAUACCAGUUGGUCAUAAGAUAAAUGGCUGUUUAAGGGGAGAUGAGACCUGUUUAUGCCUAAUUAGAUUAUUGCCAGCUGUAUCUGUAUGGUUUAGGUCUAGUGAGACCCAAGAACAUCUGGUCCUCAUAAAGGCUGUGAGCACAAAGAGGGAUUUUGGUUGAUGGGAAGAAUUCAUUGUUCGUGUGACUGCUAGGCAGAUGGUGAAAAGCGUGAGGGUAGAAAAGUUCCUCUGGGAGUCUCUGAUUAAGAGAAACGUGUAAGAGUUAGUUUCUGAAAAAUGUUGUCUAUCUGAGCUGGAGGAAGCUUCUGCCCAAUAAACUAUUUCCUGAGGUAAAUUGUAUUUGAAUG
This 1025-nucleotide long non-coding RNA is filed under the name Coturnix japonica (Japanese quail). RNAcentral's name for it is "lncRNA (ENSCJPG00005003064.1)". The record is from RNAcentral. Lineage: Eukaryota; Metazoa; Chordata; Aves; Galliformes; Phasianidae.